This is a long non-coding RNA of Mauremys mutica (yellowpond turtle), 641 nucleotides long. RefSeq lists it as uncharacterized. The record is from RefSeq and is a predicted model, not a curated record. Lineage: Eukaryota; Metazoa; Chordata; Testudines; Geoemydidae. The transcript has 3 exons.
GGGAAGCAUUUAUAGUACAAGUAUAAUGAUUAAAAUGCUUUUACAUUUUUUGCUUAAGUUUUGCUGUCAUGUAAACAGUUCAUUUAAAAUGGUGUGACGUGUUAGGAAGAUUUUUAUAUCUAGGGAAUCUAUAUAAAUAUUCCAAAAAGGCAGCAGAGAGAAUGAGCAACAAACUAUUCAAUGAAGAAGAAGCUAUUUAGUACAUCUUUAGUUUACUGAGGAUUGGCUGACAGAGUGAUAUUUGGGCAAGAUCUGAGAUGCAUAUUGAACUGGGGAUGGACUAAACCAAAAUUGCAGAUCUGAACACCAGCAAAACUUUGGAUCCAGCACCACACUUGGUUACGUCCUUUCUUGUGUCAAUAUUGUCUUACAUCUCUUUUCAAACCUGAUAAACUAGCAGGACACGACAGCGCAGAAGAAAAGGAUAUGUAGUGAUAGCAGCAGUGAAGUAAAAAGAAAUGUUAAAUACUGUUGUUUUGCUGGGCUCUACAGUUUAUUGUUAAAGCUCAGUAAAGUUAACAAAAAGAGUUUCCUAUGAGCAUCUAAGUGUUCAGACUGGGGUGGGCUGCCUGUGCCGUUUUCAGAUUGGUCAUUCUGUUCAACAUGCGUGAUUAGCACUGUACAUGGAACAGCUGCUGACU